RNAcentral lists this ribosomal RNA (727 nucleotides) under uncultured bacterium. RNAcentral's name for it is "bacterial SSU rRNA". It matches the Rfam family "Bacterial small subunit ribosomal RNA", at positions 8 to 767 of the family's 1533-position model. The record is from RNAcentral.
AGGGUUUGAUCCUGGCUCAGAGCGAACGCUGGCGGCAGGCUUAACACAUGCAAGUCGAACGAUAAGCUAGACUUCGGUUUAGUGGACAGUGGCAGACGGGUGAGUAACGCGUGGGAAUCUACCUUUGAGUGGGGAAUAACAAUUAGAAAUGAUUGCUAAUACCGCAUACACCCUCCGGGGGAAAGGCUUCGGCCGCUCUUAGAUGAGCCCGCGUACGAUUAGUUUGUUGGUGAGGUAAAGGCUCACCAAGACUACGAUCGUUAGCUGGUUUGAGAGGAUGAUCAGCCACACUGGGACUGAGACACGGCCCAGACUCCUACGGGAGGCAGCAGUGGGGAAUAUUGGACAAUGGGCGAAAGCCUGAUCCAGCCAUGCCGCGUGAGUGAAGAAGGCCUUAGGGUUGUAAAACUCUUUUAUGGGGGAAGAUAAUGACGGUACCCCAUGAAUAAGCACCGGCUAACUACGUGCCAGCAGCCGCGGUAAUACGUAGGGUGCGAGCGUUGUUCGGAAUUACUGGGCGUAAAGGGCGUGCAGGCGGAUUGGCAAGCCGGAGGUGAAAGCCCGGGGCUCAACCCCGGAGGGUCUUUCGGAACUGCCAGUCUUGAGAGGGUCAGGGGCCAGCGGAAUUCCUGGUGUAGAGGUGAAAUUCGUAGAGAUCAGGAGGAACACCGGCGGCGAAAGCGGCUGGCUGGGGCCACUCUGACGCUGAGGCGCGAAAGCGUGGGGA